This 506-nucleotide ribosomal RNA is filed under the name uncultured bacterium. Its description in RNAcentral is "partial 16S ribosomal RNA". It matches the Rfam family "Bacterial small subunit ribosomal RNA", at positions 29 to 523 of the family's 1533-position model. The record is from RNAcentral.
AGUGAACGCUGGCGGUAGGCCUAACACAUGCAAGUCGAACGGCAGCACAGGAGAGCUUGCUCUCUGGGUGGCGAGUGGCGGACGGGUGAGGAAUACAUCGGAAUCUACUUUUUCGUGGGGGAUAACGUAGGGAAACUUACGCUAAUACCGCAUACGACCUACGGGUGAAAGCAGGGGACCUUCGGGCCUUGCGUGAUUGAAUGAGCCGAUGUCGGAUUAGCUAGUUGGCGGGGUAAAGGCCCACCAAGGCGACGAUCCGUAGCUGGUCUGAGAGGAUGAUCAGCCACACUGGAACUGAGACACGGUCCAGACUCCUACGGGAGGCAGCAGUGGGGAAUAUUGGACAACGGGCGCAAGCCUGAUCCAGCCAUACCGCGUGGGUGAAGAAGGCCUUCGGGUUGUAAAGCCCUUUUGUUGGGAAAGAAAUCCAGCUGGCUAAUACCCGGUUGGGAUGACGGUACCCAAAGAAUAAGCACCGGCUAACUUCGUGCCAGCAGCCGCGGUAA